AACGACUCUCGGCAACGGAUAUCUCGGCUCUCGCAUCGAUGAAGAACGUAGCGAAAUGCGAUACUUGGUGUGAAUUGCAGAAUCCCGUGAACCAUCGAGUCUUUGAACGCAAGUUGCGCCCGAUGCCAUUAGGUUGAGGGCACGCCUGCCUGGGUGUCACGCAUUG
This 166-nucleotide ribosomal RNA is filed under the name Tetraberlinia bifoliolata. Its description in RNAcentral is "5.8S ribosomal RNA". It matches the Rfam family "5.8S ribosomal RNA". From Rfam's summary of the family: 5.8S ribosomal RNA (5.8S rRNA) is a component of the large subunit of the eukaryotic ribosome. It is transcribed by RNA polymerase I as part of the 45S precursor that also contains 18S and 28S rRNA. Functionally, it is thought that 5.8S rRNA may be involved in ribosome translocation. Lineage: Eukaryota; Viridiplantae; Streptophyta; Magnoliopsida; Fabales; Fabaceae. The record is from RNAcentral.